Chiloscyllium plagiosum (whitespotted bambooshark) is the source of this 248-nucleotide non-coding RNA. Lineage: Eukaryota; Metazoa; Chordata; Chondrichthyes; Orectolobiformes; Hemiscylliidae. The record is from RefSeq and is a predicted model, not a curated record.
CAGGAAUGAGGAGGGUGUGCCAAGCAGGCCAAGAUAAAAGAAAGAAUCCAGAAACAAGAAACUCUGAUCAGAAGAACUUGGGAAGCAAAAGCGACAUGGAAUCCUGUGGACAGGCUGAAGAUGGCAGCUGCAUUGUCUAUACUAGCCAGCAGUUUUGUCUUCUGUAGCUGUUUUUUGUGCUUUGCUGCUUGUUACACUGUAUAAGUGAGAGAGAGAGAGAGAGAGAGAAAAAGAGAGAGAGAGAGAGA